CUUGAGCAGUGAGUAUGGUUCUCCUGCAGCUCCCUUCUGACACAUGAUUACGGUUGGUGAUUAUCUUUUCCUGUUGUGCCUCCUUACAGACUGAGUGUCUGACACAUGUACAGAGCCCACAAGCUGCCAUGAGCUAUUUCUACAUGUAACUAGGUGACUACGCCUUGCAGCUUCCCCUACGUUAUAGGCUUUUUAACUUCAUUAUGUGAUCAGGCAUGUUGCCAACUUUGAAGGCCAUUCCACACAUCUGAGUGAUCUGGCUUGCCGUCCAGGUGAUUUAAGUGCCAAUCUUGAUAAAGGUCCGCAUAAGGACCGAAACGUCGAUGAAAUACGGCAUCAACAGUGAACCCGAAUAAAAAUAUACUGAAUUUACAAGUGACUUCAGAGACUAAUUUCUGGGCGUGAGUGCACCUUCCACCUAGGUGGUUGUUGUGGUAUAUUGGUGGCCUCUCAGGUCAUUAGGAGCACCCGCCGUCGUUAUUACUUUUGAUGAGAGUGCAGGAUCUUC
Pseudophryne corroboree (corroboree frog) is the source of this 508-nucleotide long non-coding RNA. RefSeq lists it as uncharacterized. NCBI's taxonomy places the organism in Eukaryota, Metazoa, Chordata, Amphibia, Anura, Myobatrachidae. The record is from RefSeq and is a predicted model, not a curated record. The transcript has 3 exons.